GGACCCGCACAAGCGGUGGAGCAUGUGGUUUAAUUCGAAGCAACGCGAAGAACCUUACCAAGUCUUGACAUCCCACUGACCGGUCGGUAACGCGGCCUUUCCUUCGGGACAGUGGAGACAGGUGGUGCAUGGUUGUCGUCAGCUCGUGUCGUGAGAUGUUGGGUUAAGUCCCGCAACGAGCGCAACCCUUAUCCCUAGUAGCCAGCAGGUAAGGCUGGGCACUCUAGGGAGACUGCCAGGGAUAACCUGGAGGAAGGUGGGGAUGACGUCAAAUCAUCAUGCCCCUUAUGACUUGGGCUACACACGUGCUACAAUGGCGUAAACAAAGUGAAGCGAGAGUGUGAGCUUAAGCAAAUCACAAAAAUAACGUCUCAGUUCGGAUUGUAGUCUGCAACUCGACUACAUGAAGCUGGAAUCGCUAGUAAUCGCGGAUCAGAAUGCCGCGGUGAAUACGUUCCCGGGUCUU
This 466-nucleotide ribosomal RNA is filed under the name uncultured bacterium. RNAcentral describes it as "bacterial SSU rRNA". It matches the Rfam family "Bacterial small subunit ribosomal RNA", at positions 917 to 1382 of the family's 1533-position model. The record is from RNAcentral.